This is a long non-coding RNA of Uranotaenia lowii, 2056 nucleotides long. RefSeq lists it as uncharacterized. NCBI's taxonomy places the organism in Eukaryota, Metazoa, Arthropoda, Insecta, Diptera, Culicidae. The record is from RefSeq and is a predicted model, not a curated record. The transcript has 3 exons.
UCCAAAGUUUUGUUCAAAAAUUAUUUUUCAUUUAAUUUUGUUAGUCUAGAACAGAAUAACUCAUGAUAGUUAGCCACGAACAGGAUCGCUAAGAGGAAUACAUUCGGCUACUGGUGGCACUUCAAUUCGAAACUACAUCUUUGAUGAAUGUUGGCAUGACGGUGCAUUUUCCUUCUAUGCAAUCGCCAGUCAAAUCCCGAAGGAAUUUUCUUACCGUGGACAAAAUCAUCCUUAAUUUCAUCUGCUCUUGGAUGUUUCCCACGUCACCAUAUAUUUUCAAAAGGCUCAGACCGAAACCAACACGAUGAAAAACGCCGGAAUUAAAGAUAGUAUCCUGAAACGCUACGCAUCGAACGAGAGUUUUCCUAGCAAUUGUACUCACAUCAACAAAACACCAGGAAAAUUGAAAAAAUGUGAGUUCCAAGAUUCCAGAUAAAAUGUUUUGUUCAACUAUUAGAGAAAAUGAAUCCACCUUGCUAAGGCCAAAUAGUUUCGACGAUUUUCAAUCUAAUGCAAGCAGAAACCCACCCAAUGAAAAUGGUAAGGUUGUGACCAAUUUAAAAAAAAAAUACAGUUAGGAACCAUUCUUGAUAUUAGGUAGUGAAUAUAAUCAAUGAUGAAUGAAAAAAACUAGGCUUAAAGUAUUUCAUAAGAUAGCUCAAGAAAGUUACAAUAUUAUUAUGUUUUAAAAUUAAAAGGCUUAUAUUCUUAUAUCGAAAAAAAAGAAAUGGAAGUAAUGAAAGAAAUAGUUAUAGGGAAAUUCAUUUUUCUCGGAUUCUGGAUACGGUAUACUGCCGUUGGACGCAUAAUUGUCACAUGUGACAUUUCGACGUUUUUGAUGCCAAUCGUCAUAAUUUGAUACGUAUUAUUGAUAUUCUUUGUCGAAACAUAAAGUUUAUUCUAGAAAUUUCAAGAAAAAUUCAAAGUCAAUCUGUCACACUGGGAUAAAUGGACGCAUAACUGUCACACUGAGACGAUUGGACGCAUAUUUGUCACACUAAAGAAAUGAACGUAUUAUAACUUCGGAACGUCUAAAUAGAUUUUCACCUAACUUGGCACACGUGUCCUAGAUAGUCGGGAGGCGAUCACGGAGAUGUGAAGAGGGGGAGGGGUCACUGUUUUCGCGGAAACCCAGCAUGUGCAAGAAAAACUCUGCAAACUGCUUCGGGUCCGUUGCUGGCACUUGGGAGAAUGCAUGUAAACGUAACCAGCUUCACAACAUUAGUCAAAUUGUUAUUCUUCCAGCGCAGUGUGACAGUUCCACCGUAUUCACCAAUUGUCCAGGAUGGCCACAUCUGAUUGACGGUAGUUUUAGACCUUUUUUUUGGUUUGCUUUGAGUUUUUGAUUUCGACACACCUAGUAAAAUACCGGAGAUGUCUGUUUCUUCUUGUUUACAAACUAUUCCGCCAGAGUUACUUCAUCCGGAACUUGUCCCAAGACCGUAUUCACUGCAAACGGAUCGAUUGUCCUCUUCUGGUGACGCUUCUUUCGCGGUUGCGACGUUUUCAGCACGGCAGCUGACAUUAGUUGAAGAAAUGUUGCUUCUUGUAAAGUGAUUGAGCUGCCGCAAAUUGCUCCCCCGUGCCGUUUUAUUGAUCGAACCCGUUAAAAACUUCAUGUUUGGCACCAGAGAGUGUAAAUUUUCAAAUAAUCCGAUUCAGACCUGAUUUUUUUUUUAAAUUUAAGCUUCCAUUCACAAAUAAAACACAAGAGCCACACACGAUAUGCCAAACCUAACAACUACUGGGAAAAUGUUCGUGGUGUGACAAAUAUGCGUCCAUUUUUCGACUUUUCAUAGAAUUUCGCGGCAUAAAUGUCACACAACGAUUUUCAUUGAAAGUUCAGUUCAUUUUCGAAAAAUUUGAUCGAGGCUCAUAUGAUAGGAGUAUACUUUAGAGAUCCACGGCAUUGAAGUCAACAAAAAUUGCAAAACUGUGCGUUCACAGCAAAGUGUUUUUGUGAUACUUUAAUCGCGUUUUUCUCGCUUUGCCUUUUUGUGACAUGUGACAAUUAUGCUUCCAACGGCAGUAUAGUUCCACGAAAACCAUAUGUUUC